Molecule: long non-coding RNA, 663 nt
Organism: Lolium perenne
Lineage: Eukaryota; Viridiplantae; Streptophyta; Magnoliopsida; Poales; Poaceae
Source: RefSeq, a predicted model, not a curated record
UCACUCUCCACUCCUUCCUCCACUCCCUCCCAUCCCUCUCCUACCUCUCUCCCACGAAAAUGGUGCUCCUUCUAGCUACCAUGACCAGCCAUGGCCAUGGAAAUCCACCAAGAGGAAGCUCCCCUUCUCCCUCAAGCUUCCCCUCACCAUGAGAGCCUCCCUCUCCUUCUUCUCCCCAACCCUAGAUGGUUUUAUCACCUCUUCUUCUUCCUCCAUUGCUAAGGUUGGAUCUUGAUGCAGGUUCAUGUUGGUUCAAGCAUGGAUAAGGUUGAGCAAUCCUCAGAUCUGAAGCUCUUGAUCCAAAUCCAAAUCGAGUGAUUCAAAGUUCCACAGGUAGAUAUUGAAAAGAUCUACAACUUGGCGUUGGUCUCAUCCUCAAAUUCGUUACAAAUUAUCCCUGAUCAAGAUCUGGUCAGAUCUGACUUUGUCGAAUUAAAUCAGGAGCUUGGUGACGAAUUUUUGAAUGAAACAAAUUGGGGGAUACUUAGUUGUGCCAUGGUGAUACCGAGAGAGGCAAUUGCUAAGUUGUGAUACUCUCAUACCUUUACUAGAUGCGAACGAUUCCGGAGAAGAAGAAGUGGAUCGGAAAAGGAUUUUAUUUAUAUUGUUGGUAUUCUUAUAUUGAUGAAGUUGAAGAAGUCCAGGGACAAAUAAGCCAAGGCA